Molecule: long non-coding RNA, 2098 nt
Filed under: Glycine max (soybean)
Lineage: Eukaryota; Viridiplantae; Streptophyta; Magnoliopsida; Fabales; Fabaceae
Description: long non-coding RNA (GMAX_LNC001442)
Source: RNAcentral
UAAGGAGGUAGGGGGAUUGCAGGUACUUCAACGUAUCAUUAAGUUAAUUCAUCAGAAUGCACAAGUGUACAGAGGGCGAGCCCUGGUACAGCGGUAAAGUUGUGCCUUGGUGACUUGUUGGUCAUGGGUUCGAGUGUAGGCUUCAGGUUUGGAUCUGUGCUCCAGUUCAUGGAAAAAAUAAUACAUAAAUGUUUAUAAGGCAACAUGAGCCAACAAUUAAACAAGAGACAUAGAAGAGAAAAGAAUACUUUGAGCAUCAAAUCCAGUAAGAUAUCCAAGCUAGUUAGAAGUUUCCAGAGAUUGUUAAUCAAAUCCAACUGAAUUGCAGGCUCAGUCAGCAUGCAUUUCUUCCCAUGUUGUGCUUAACACAAUGUUGUGACCUGAAAAAUGUUUUAUCAUGCAAUAACUGAUCAUACAAUGGCAUUCCAAUGUAAAUGAAAUAGCAAGUGCCAAAUUGUAGACAACUUGUUUAUCUAUUGUAUUCUGAAGGAACCGUCUGUUUUCUGCCCAAUCCAACGGUUUCAACCAAAGGAUAACACAUAACAGUGUCUUCCUCAAAGGAUAAUACAGUACAAUAUAUCAAAUUCAAUUUAGAAAUGCCAUAGAACUGUAUUAAUCAAGGAAAUGCUAGUGAUUAGAUGCAUUAAAUCUUCAGGCACAAUGCAUGGUAAUGCAUUAUUAACUGACAAAAACCCAUUCACAGUUCAUAAUAACCAAAAGACUCGUUUUUAAAUUGAUGAGGAUAGAUUGAACCAGUUCAAGAAGUAACUACACGCAUGAUCUUUGAAGAUAUCAGUUGAGGCCUCAAGAUUGCAACUAGAUGAAAACACCUACAUGAGUACUAGUAUGUCAUCACACAGUAACACUACUGAGCACCAACUAGCCAUAGAUGCAGGUAACAUCAUGAAGACAUGGAAAUAGAGAGAGAUAAGCAUUACAGUUAUUACUUUCAUUCACCAAGGUACAGAUGUCAGAGAUCAUUACUUAGUAACAUAAUCUUUGAUUGUGUUUGUGUCUAUUGAAUUCCUAACAAAAUUCAAUAAGUGGAGUAUCAGAAAAAAUAAACAGCAUCCAGAACUUUUUAGCUACAAUCAGCGUGCUUCCGUACUCAGAACACCCACAUCCUCAAGUUCAAUCGCAUAUAUGAAAUGUUUCCACCAGCACAUUUCUUAUUGACUUGAUAAAUCCAUUUCAUAAGUGGAUUUAGAGGGCUAUUAAAAUGAAAUUCUAUACAUUCUUGAACGAAGCUAUAGGGAUUAUUAGUUCUACUGUAUAAUAUUCAUUUAUCAAAAAAAAUAAAAAAAUAUAGAUGAGUUAUUUACAUAACUUUCAUCUCACUUAGCCUAUCAAAAUUACUCUUGAUGCAAUGUUAAGGAUUUUUCAUCAUUUAAAGUUAUUUCAACUAUUACCUUCAUCAACUAAACUAUUCUAACCAUGAUUCCUCAUGUGAAAGAGACUAAAUCACCUAAUUUCACUCUCAAUCCCCUAAGAGCUAAACCAGUAAUUUGCGCUAAGAAUAAAGAUGCAUAAACAAGGCUAAAUAACAUUAUUCUAUCCCUAGACAUGGGUUACCUUGAAGUUCCUUUAAGUUCUUAGGAUAAAAACAUUUUCCAAUGUUUAAAACCAGGUAACGUACAUGUGAAUGGAUGAUCAAACUAUAAACAAGGCAAUAAACUUAGAUAGGAAGCAAUAAUAUUGAAAUAACAUUAAAUGGAUACUAAAGAUCAUUACAUCAAAGAGUGUUUGGUAUCCAAGCCCCCUACAAUGGACAAUUUAGCCUUUUAUGGUCAUGAGAGACUAAAAAAUAAAAUAUGAACAAAGAAAAUGGAAGAAGAUGAAAGAAGAGCUCUCAAGUAAGUGUUUUGCUCUAUUUUGUGCCUUUGCUUACCAACCUCCUCCAAAAAGCAUAGUAUCACCCUUUUAUAAUCUCCAAAACAUUGCACAAUCAUGUUUUCCGUAGAUGACCGUGCGCUAAGUUUGCAUGUGCGCGCUAAGCGCACAUGUAAAGUACAACUAGCUUAAGUGACCAACGCUAAGCCUACAAACGUGCGCUUACUGCUCAUACUCGAUACAGCUGGCUUCACACGUCGUGUCAAAA